Molecule: long non-coding RNA, 2422 nt
Organism: Phascolarctos cinereus (koala)
Lineage: Eukaryota; Metazoa; Chordata; Mammalia; Diprotodontia; Phascolarctidae
Source: RefSeq, a predicted model, not a curated record
UCUGGCACCUGCGCAGUAGCCGUUAGAGGGGCUGGGAGGGUCUCGCUUUUUUUCUGUCUGUCUUUCCCGGGCCGCGGUCCUGAGCGAUCGGGGGUCUCUGGCCCAGUCCCCCGGCCCUGUCUGCCGAGGAAAGGCCCAAGACUGACAGGGCCUGUUCUCUCCUGUUGAAAUGAGGGGUGGGAGCGAGUGACCUUCGAGAGACGUGGGGACCCUUUCUUGAGGCCUAAGGGGCCCCCCGCAGAGGUCCGGGGACUUCCUCCAGAGGCCUAGGGGCCCCUUAGAGAUCAGGGGAUGCCCCUCCAGAUACCCAGGAACCCCCUUUAGGGGCCUGAGGACCCUUCUAGACACCCAGGAACCCCCUCUUGAGGUCCCAAGACCUACCUCCAGAGGCCUAGGGGGUCCUCUAGAGAUGUAGGGACCCUCUUGGGUAGUCUGGAGCCCCUCUAGAUAUUUAAGAACUCCUUUGGAGGUCUAGGGACCCUUCUAAAUACCCAGGGACCACCUUGAGAAGUUUGGGGGUACCUCUAGAUACCCAGAAAUGCCCUCUAGGGAGGGGCCUGGGGCCCCAGGAGAUACCUGGGUGCCCACCAGAGAUUGAGUGACUCCCCCCCUCCAGAAAAGUAUCCUUUGGGGGUAAAGUGACAAACUUUGGUAAGCCCCGGAGACCUUCUUGAGGAGGAGACAGCCAGUGACACAGAGCUGUCCCAAGCAGCCACAGCCCUCGCUGGGUGAGGGGCUGGAGAAGACAAGGAAGCCCCUGAGUCUCUUCCCACUCUGAGAUUCUUGGCUCUGCCACUCACUUCCUGAAUGACUCUGGACAAAACUCUCACCCUCUCUGAGCCUCUUUUUCCUCCUCUCCAAGAUGAGGGGGUUGGAGAGGACAGAAGGUUCCUUCUCUAAUGGCCUCUGAUGGCCCCACCUCUCCGCCUUCCCCAGUAAGGCUGUGGACCUCUGGCCUCCAGGUCUACCAGGAUCAGGCAAAGAGGCUGCAGUUCCAGAAGCCAGAGGGGAGGUCCGAAUGGAACCUUUAUGGGAGACACUGAGAAACAUCAAGGGAGCUGGAACCCCGGACCAUCAGGCCUAUGACAGGUCCGUAUGACUCAACAGUCCCCACUUCUGUGGCACUGGACAUCUUCUUCCCUUCUGACGUCUCCCUUUGCUGCCUUCUCACUUAAGGUCCAUCCCAGUUCUAUGUGUCUGAGCCUAUGGUGGGGCAGCGCAGGAUUAGACAGGGUACCUUCGGCUGAGCUCCUGGCCAGUCUGGCGACCUCGUGAUUGGUCAGUGCAGUGACCGAGUAAGGCUGUGGAGACACCCAAGCCCACCACUGGCUUCCAGGUGCCCCAGGAUCAGCAAAAGAGGCUGCCGUUCCUUGAAGCCAGAGGGAGGCACAAGGAAGGAAUUCAAAAGGAAGCUGUAAACACUGAUGAGGAAACUGAAGCAAACAGAGGUUAAGUGAUUUUCCCAGAGUCAUGCUGUCUUCGUGAACCUUAUUCCUGUCAGUAAAAGCCACAACCCAGUGACAGUUUGGCCUUUUUGCUGUUCCCCACACAUGACUCUCUCUCUCCGUCCAGUAUCUUCCCUGGCUGUCUCCCACACCUCGAAUGCUUUCCAUCCUCCUUUCUGCCUAAACAUUGGGAAAAUAAGAACCCACUGACUUCACCUGCCGCUACAGAUGCCUCUCUCAACAUGUCCGUAACAACAAUGAACAGAUAUUGGACCUUUCAACGACUUCACAGAGCGCAGAAUGGCUGCUCCUGACCACUUCCCAUGUAUACUUUUCUAGAGUCCCAAUUGUCCUAACUCUGACCUUCAUAAAACUUACAUGUUCUUCAUUAAACAUAGGUUCCCUUCCACAUACAUUGCAAAUAUGAGCCUCCAGAAAUUGACACUAUUUUUCAAAUACUAUAUUCAUGUCUUCAUAGUAUUGCUAUUGUGAGGGAUGGCUCACAGUGAAGUUCCCUCUUUAGUACCCCCCUGCUACACUCCUAUCUCUCUCCCACAUUCUUCCUGAGUGUGAGAGACGGCCUUCAGUGCAGUUCCCACAGGCCUAAAUUUCCUCCAGAAAGCCUUGAAUUAAAUUUCCAUUUUCCCCGAUAAACUUCUAUUUCUCCAGCACCACGUCAGCAUGGUGGGGGGUGGGGGGGAGCUCGGUGCCUGGUCACUCCUACUUCCUAGUACACAUAUGCAUCUAGUCCAAACGUGGGCAUGUUUACUUCUAUUGGGUAUUAGCUGCUGCGUUUAGAAUGUACGCCCUGAGUACCCAGUCAAAGGAAAACAGGGUAAGAGAGUGGGAAGGGGCAUCCCGUCAGGGGAUAAAAAGCCAAGGGUGUGGCUCCCAACUUGUCCUCUCCUGGCGGGCAAUGGCGACUAGGGGCGGUACCCUUUCUCAUGAGAAAGCAAUAAACUCCUUUCUGUUUUCUA